Molecule: ribosomal RNA, 301 nt
Filed under: uncultured bacterium
Lineage: Bacteria
Description: partial 16S ribosomal RNA
Rfam family: Bacterial small subunit ribosomal RNA
Source: RNAcentral
CAGUAGCCGCGGGAAUACGUAGGUGGCAAGCGUUGUCCGGAAUUAUUGGGCGUAAAGGGCUCGCAGGCGGUUUCUUAAGUCUGAUGUGAAAGCCCCCGGCUCAACCGGGGAGGGCCAUUGGAAACUGGGAAACUUGAGUGCAGAAGAGGAGAGUGGAAUUCCACGUGUAGCGGUGAAAUGCGUAGAGAUGUGGAGGAACACCAGUGGCGAAGGCGACUCUCUGGUCUGUAACUGACGCUGAGGAGCGAAAGCGUGGGGAGCGAACAGGAUUAGAUACCCCUGUAGUCCCUGUCUCUUAUAC